CAGGACGAACGCUGGCGGCGUGCUUAACACAUGCAAGUCGAACGGAAAGGCCCUGCUUUUGUGGGGUGCUCGAGUGGCGAACGGGUGAGUAACACGUGAGUAACCUGCCCUUGACUUUGGGAUAACUUCAGGAAACUGGGGCUAAUACCGGAUAGGAGCUCCUGCUGCAUGGUGGGGGUUGGAAAGUUUCGGCGGUUGGGGAUGGACUCGCGGCUUAUCAGCUUGUUGGUGGGGUAGUGGCUUACCAAGGCUUUGACGGGUAGCCGGCCUGAGAGGGUGACCGGCCACAUUGGGACUGAGAUACGGCCCAGACUCCUACGGGAGGCAGCAGUGGGGAAUAUUGCACAAUGGGCGGAAGCCUGAUGCAGCAACGCCGCGUGCGGGAUGACGGCCUUCGGGUUGUAAACCGCUUUCGCCUGUGACGAAGCGUGAGUGACGGUAAUGGGUAAAGAAGCACCGGCUAACUACUGGCCCAG
RNAcentral lists this ribosomal RNA (476 nucleotides) under Cutibacterium acnes. RNAcentral's name for it is "bacterial SSU rRNA". It matches the Rfam family "Bacterial small subunit ribosomal RNA", at positions 25 to 511 of the family's 1533-position model. The record is from RNAcentral. Lineage: Bacteria; Bacillati; Actinomycetota; Actinomycetes; Propionibacteriales; Propionibacteriaceae.